RNAcentral lists this ribosomal RNA (483 nucleotides) under uncultured bacterium. RNAcentral's name for it is "partial 16S ribosomal RNA". It matches the Rfam family "Bacterial small subunit ribosomal RNA", at positions 28 to 507 of the family's 1533-position model. The record is from RNAcentral.
GACGAACGCUGGCGGCGUGCUUAACACAUGCAAGUCGAACGCUGAAGCUCAGCUUUUGUUGGGUGGAUGAGUGGCGAACGGGUGAGUAACACGUGAGUAACCUGCCUCCUUCUUUGGGAUAACGCCCGGAAACGGGCGCUAAUACUGGAUAUUCACUGGUCUUCGCAUGGGGGUUGGUGGAAAGGGUUUUUCUGGUGGGGGAUGGGCUCGCGGCCUAUCAGCUUGUUGGUGGGGUGAUGGCCUACCAAGGCUUUGACGGGUAGCCGGCCUGAGAGGGUGACCGGUCACAUUGGGACUGAGAUACGGCCCAGACUCCUACGGGAGGCAGCAGUGGGGAAUAAUGCACAAUGGGCGCAAGCCUGAUGCAGCGACGCCGCGUGAGGGAUGGAGGCCUUCGGGUUGUGAACCUCUUUCGCUCAUGGUCAAGCCGCAACAAUGGUUGUGGUGAGGGUAGUGGGUAAAGAAGCGCCGGCUAACUACGUG